CAGGAAGUAGUUUAAAUUAGAAUUUUGGUUUUGGGGGCCAAUGGUGGUGGUUAAAAUCCACCCUGUUUGA
RNAcentral lists this transfer RNA (70 nucleotides) under Epicrionops cf. marmoratus UMMZ 190478. RNAcentral's name for it is "tRNA-Pro". It matches the Rfam family "tRNA". From Rfam's summary of the family: Transfer RNA (tRNA) molecules are approximately 80 nucleotides in length. Lineage: Eukaryota; Metazoa; Chordata; Amphibia; Gymnophiona; Rhinatrematidae. The record is from RNAcentral.